UAGGGGAAGUCUUCCACAAUGGACGCAAGUCUGAUGGAGCAACGCCGCGUGAGUGAAGAAGGUCUUCGGAUCGUAAAACUCUGUUGUUAGAGAAGAACACGAGUGAGAGUAACUGUUCAUUCGAUGACGGUAUCUAACCAGCAAGUCACGGCUAACUACGUGCCNG
RNAcentral lists this ribosomal RNA (166 nucleotides) under uncultured bacterium. Its description in RNAcentral is "partial 16S rRNA". It matches the Rfam family "Bacterial small subunit ribosomal RNA", at positions 353 to 511 of the family's 1533-position model. The record is from RNAcentral.